AAACGACUCUCGGCAACGGAUAUCUCGGCUCUCGCAUCGAUGAAGAACGUAGCGAAAUGCGAUACUUGGUGUGAAUUGCAGAAUCCCGUGAACCAUCGAGUCUUUGAACGCAAGUUGCGCCCGAAGCCAUUCGGCUUAGGGCACGUCUGCCUGGGCGUCACGCAU
RNAcentral lists this ribosomal RNA (165 nucleotides) under Epifagus virginiana (beechdrops). RNAcentral describes it as "5.8S ribosomal RNA". It matches the Rfam family "5.8S ribosomal RNA". From Rfam's summary of the family: 5.8S ribosomal RNA (5.8S rRNA) is a component of the large subunit of the eukaryotic ribosome. It is transcribed by RNA polymerase I as part of the 45S precursor that also contains 18S and 28S rRNA. Lineage: Eukaryota; Viridiplantae; Streptophyta; Magnoliopsida; Lamiales; Orobanchaceae. The record is from RNAcentral.